Pundamilia nyererei is the source of this 178-nucleotide long non-coding RNA. RefSeq lists it as uncharacterized. The transcript has 3 exons. The record is from RefSeq and is a predicted model, not a curated record. NCBI's taxonomy places the organism in Eukaryota, Metazoa, Chordata, Actinopteri, Cichliformes, Cichlidae.
AGAAAACCACAGACACUUACACAGAAGUAGGACACUGUUUUUGGGGUGUGUGUAACUGAAACAAAUGCGCAAAUAAAGAUGUGAAACAAUGCCGAGAACAUCGCUCCUGCUGCCGCUCUUGCUGACUUCGCUGCUGUGUUGCAGACCCUCCCGAGCUCGUCUGACUGUGAGUCCCAGC